RNAcentral lists this ribosomal RNA (317 nucleotides) under uncultured bacterium. RNAcentral's name for it is "bacterial SSU rRNA". It matches the Rfam family "Bacterial small subunit ribosomal RNA", at positions 28 to 334 of the family's 1533-position model. The record is from RNAcentral.
GAUGAACGCUGGCGGCGUGCCUAAUACAUGCAAGUCGAGCGAACGGAUAAGGAGCUUGCUCCUUUGAAGUUAGCGGCGGACGGGUGAGUAACACGUGGGUAACCUACCUAUAAGACUGGAAUAACUUCGGGAAGCCGGAGCUAAUGCCGGAUAACAUUUGGAACCGCAUGGUUCUAAAGUAAAAGAUGGUUUUGCUAUCACUUAUAGAUGGACCCGCGCCGUAUUAGCUAGUUGGUAAGGUAACGGCUCACCAAGGCCACGAUGCAUAGCCGACCUGAGAGGGUGAUCGGCCACACUGGGACUGAGACACGGCCCAG